GAUGAACGCUGGCGGCGUGCCUAAUACAUGCAAGUCGAGAGAACGGACGAGAAGCUUGCUUUUCUGAUGUUAGCGGCGGACGGGUGAGUAACACGUGGAUAACCUACCUAUAAGACUGGGAUAACUUCGGGAAACCGGAGCUAAUACCGGAUAAUAUUUUGAACCGCAUGGUUCAAAAGUGAAAGACGGUCUUGCUGUCACUUAUAGAUGGAUCCGCGCUGCAUUAGCUAGUUGGUAAGGUAACGGCUUACCAAGGCAACGAUGCAUAGCCGACCUGAGAGGGUGAUCGGCCACACUGGAACUGAGACACGGUCCAGACUCCUACGGGAGGCAGCAGUAGGGAAUCUUCCGCAAUGGGCGAAAGCCUGACGGAGCAACGCCGCGUGAGUGAUGAAGGUCUUCGGAUCGUAAAACUCUGUUAUUAGGGAAGAACAUAUGUGUAAGUAACUGUGCACAUCUUGACGGUACCUAAUCAGAAAGCCACGGCUAACUACGUG
This 497-nucleotide ribosomal RNA is filed under the name uncultured bacterium. Its description in RNAcentral is "partial 16S ribosomal RNA". It matches the Rfam family "Bacterial small subunit ribosomal RNA", at positions 28 to 507 of the family's 1533-position model. The record is from RNAcentral.